AGACCCGAAACCCGGUGAUCUAGCCAUGGGCAGGUUGAAGGUUGGGUAACACUAACUGGAGGACCGAACCGACUAAUGUUGAAAAAUUAGCGGAUGACCUGUGGCUGGGGGUGAAAGGCCAAUCAAACCGGGAGAUAGCUGGUUCUCCCCGAAAGCUAUUUAGGUAGCGCCUCGUGAAUUCAUCUCCGGGGGUAGAGCACUGUUUCGGCUAGGGGGCCAUCCCGGCUUACCAACCCGAUGCAAACUGCGAAUACCGGAGAAUGUUAUCACGGGAGACACACGGCGGGUGCUAACGUCCGUCGUGAAGAGGGAAACAACCCAGACCGCCAGCUAAGGUCCCAAAGUCAUGGUUAAGUGGGAAACGAUGUGGGAAGGCCCAGACAGCCAGGAUGUUGGCUUAGAAGCAGCCAUCAUUUAAAGAAAGCGUAAUAGCUCACUGGUCGAGUCGGCCUGCGCGGAAGAUGUAACGGGGCUAAACCAUGCACCGAAGCUGCGGCAGCGAACGUAUCACUUAAAGCGAUUCAGCGGGUUACGAUUGACGGAGCGAAGCGACGUCAAAGCGUAUACAAAGUCGAGUCGGUUUAAGGAUACGUUCGUUGGGUAGGGGAGCGUUCUGUAAGCCUGUGAAGGUGUGUCGUGAGGCAUGCUGGAGGUAUCAGAAGUGCGAAUGCUGACAUAAGUAACGAUAAAGCGGGUGAAAAGCCCGCUCGCCGGAAGACCAAGGGUUCCUGUCCAACGUUAAUCGGGGCAGGGUGAGUCGACCCCUAAGGCGAGGCCGAAAGGCGUAGUCGAUGGGAAACGGGUUAAUAUUCCCGUACUUGGUGUUACUGCGAAGGGGGGACGGAGAAGGCUAUGUUGGCCGGGCGACGGUUGUCCCGGUUUAAGCGUGUAGGCUGGUUUUCCAGGCAAAUCCGGAAAAUCAAGGCUGAGGCGUGAUGACGAGGCACUACGGUGCUGA
This 958-nucleotide ribosomal RNA is filed under the name Salmonella enterica subsp. enterica serovar Infantis. RNAcentral describes it as "partial 23S ribosomal RNA". It matches the Rfam family "Bacterial large subunit ribosomal RNA", at positions 711 to 1588 of the family's 2925-position model. The record is from RNAcentral. Lineage: Bacteria; Pseudomonadati; Pseudomonadota; Gammaproteobacteria; Enterobacterales; Enterobacteriaceae.